AUGCAGAGUAUAACCGCAAGUGGACUCCUAGUAUUCGUCAGUUUCAUGAUGGACCAAGGAGAACCAGGCAAAGAUCUGCCGAUAUUGGAGCAGACGCGGGAGGCUGAUCCCCACGAGAUAGAGAGCUCCAAGAAGAUGGAGGCAACCACCGAGGCGACCCCAGAUAUUGAGAUGGUCAACGCCCCGUUUGAGGUUACAGCCCCCGUGGCACUGAAGGAGCAGUUUUCCCUCUUUGAGGAUGUGUCCCCCCCGGCUGAGCUGACCAAGAGCCCUGAUGUAGACAAGGAUUGUGUGGUUGUACAUGUCAUUUGCUAUGAGGCGGACGACCUGAAUAUACGCACUGGAAAAACAGAGUUCUUAGGCUGUUGGAUCCUGGUAGCCAUUUGCGGUUAUACCAAUGAAGAGUUGUAUUCCAGCCUCACUGUUGUCAGGCGUGUUGUCCAGGGUGUACUGAAGCACAAGAAGUUCAAAGCUACUCCUUCGUUUGUGAGGAAUACUGUUCUUGUCAAGCUUACACAGGAAGAUGACGUGGCAUGCCUCCACAAACAAGUUUAUCAGUGGCAAGGCCACAAGGUUGUCUUCAUGAAGGUUCACAGGAUUGAGCUGCUGCGGGACGUCCUCGAUGAUGUUCAUGGCAAGGUCCGUCUUGUGUCCAUCCCAAAUUAG
RNAcentral lists this ribosomal RNA (666 nucleotides) under Triticum aestivum (bread wheat). Its description in RNAcentral is "partial small subunit ribosomal RNA". Lineage: Eukaryota; Viridiplantae; Streptophyta; Magnoliopsida; Poales; Poaceae. The record is from RNAcentral.